This 550-nucleotide ribosomal RNA is filed under the name Pseudomystus siamensis. RNAcentral's name for it is "partial 16S ribosomal RNA". It matches the Rfam family "Bacterial large subunit ribosomal RNA", at positions 1863 to 2603 of the family's 2925-position model. The record is from RNAcentral. Lineage: Eukaryota; Metazoa; Chordata; Actinopteri; Siluriformes; Bagridae.
CCAGUGACAAGUUAAACGGCCGCGGUAUUUUGACCGUGCGAAGGUAGCGCAAUCACUUGUCUUUUAAAUGAAGACCUGUAUGAAUGGUGGAACGAGGGCUUAACUGUCUCCCCUUUCAAGUCAAUGAAAUUGAUCUGCCCGUGCAGAAGCGGACAUACCCCUACAAGACGAGAAGACCCUUUGGAGCUUAAGACACAAGAUCAACUAUGUCAAGAAUCCCAAACAAAUAAAACUAAAUAGCAACUGAUCCCUGUCUUCGGUUGGGGCGACCACGGGAGAAAUAAAGCUCCCAUGCGGACUGGGAUUUUUCCUAAAACCCAGAGAGACAUCUCUAAGUCACAAGAAACUUUCUGACCCACAUAGAUUCCCGGGCCCACACCACCCGAUCAACGGAACCCAGUUACCCCUAGGGGAAUAACAGGCGCAAUUCCCCUUUUCAGAGUCCCAUUAUCGACAAGGGGGUUUACAGAACUCGAUGUUGAAUCAGAACAUCCUAAUGGUGCAACCGCUAUUAAGGGUUCGUUUGUUCAACGAUUAAAGUCCUACGUGA